This 563-nucleotide long non-coding RNA is filed under the name Dermacentor andersoni. RNAcentral's name for it is "uncharacterized LOC126530662". Lineage: Eukaryota; Metazoa; Arthropoda; Arachnida; Ixodida; Ixodidae. The record is from RNAcentral.
UUGUAUGGGCCGGCGUGUUUGCGUGUGUCUAGUGCGUACGUGUUUUGUGAGCGUGUUUAUGUAGGUCACUGUGUGUGUGUGCGUGCACGUGUUAGCGUGUCUGCCUGCAUGUAUGUGUGCUUGUUUGUGUUUAUCAAUGUGAGCGUGCGCGCUUUUGUGUCUGCGCUUUGCGAGUGCGUAUAUUUGUGUGUGCGUGCGUAUGUAUUGCAUAAGGCCGGUAGAGUUUUACUCACAAUAAACUCUUCCAAUUUGGUGCAGCGAGUGUUCCCGCCUGAAAGCCGAGUUUGGUUUCAAGCCACCCUGGACAACUGCUGUAUGAGGCGCCGUUUCUCGGGAGGACCAGUGGAAAGGCGUCAGGUCAUGCAGAUGAUAGCAGCAGUUACACAAUGCCUAGCCUUGGUGCCCUCCAUCAAGAGCAAGCCACUUGCAUUCGUCUUCAGACAGAUGGUUGAUGUCUUCUUGGAAGCAGUUUGGAAGACAACAUUGAUGCAAGAUUCCAGCGUAGCCAUGCGCUGCACUUAUAGGUCAAGGUGCUCAGAGAAUGGAGUCCCUGCAUCUCAUGG